Molecule: long non-coding RNA, 1830 nt
Organism: Brassica napus (rape)
Lineage: Eukaryota; Viridiplantae; Streptophyta; Magnoliopsida; Brassicales; Brassicaceae
Exons: 3
Source: RefSeq, a predicted model, not a curated record
UCUUGGCGAAGAGAUGAUGAUGAUGAGAAGUUAAAAUCUUGGCUUUUGGGAACUUAGAAAUGCAUUCUAGAUUUGAAAUUUUAAGAUGAGCUGAGAUUCUUAUACAAAUCUGAAGUUACAUUAUAAUUUAUUAGACUUUUUCCGUCUUUUAUUAUUUGAUUCAUAAAAUGGUGGAAUGACAUAAUAAUUCUGGGAUUAAGAAAUUAUUUAGUAAUAAUACAAUUUUUUGUAUGAUAAUAUUUUUAAACCACAUUUUACAAGAUUUCAACAAGAAAAACCACAAAAAGAAACAAUACAAUUAUGUGAGUUUGUUUUCCUAACCGAGAAGUUGUGUCUGACAGGUGACAGAAGAAAACAAUACAAAUCUUGCUUGAAUUGCAUAUUUAAGAUACCACAUCAUUAUGUUAACCAAGCCUCCCUAUCUUCUGCAGGCCGGUUAUUUGUCUACACUAUGUCUGGACUCUUUUUUUUAUUCCACACCGAGACUGCUGCCAAAGUAAGUUCCAUGGUCAUAUGAAUUAGGUGCUUUUGAUGGUUCAUCUAAUUACUACUCCCAUUCUCUCUUCUGAACACAUACUUUACACUGCAUUAGAUUGGGUGGUCCCGUCGGUUCUGACACCGCCGCUGCUUCAAUGUAUCGUGGUGUUAACAAGAUAGAAUCUUUUACCGUCGCUGAGCUUAAUAAAUAUGUUCUCAAUUCUCCACUUCAGGUAUACCUUCAAAAUGUAUUUAUUUACGUGCUCUACAAUAUUUACUGGUUGAUUAUUAAUGCUGACUCAUCGAAACAGUCAACCGAGUUUCUCUGCGAUGGAAAGUCAUUGGCAUAUAAACAGAGAACACCUCCUGUUCGAACUGUUCCAAGAAGCUACAACAGGGCUUUCGUCCUUCACAUGCGUUGCAUGUGAUGAUUCCAAAGCCUUUGGUGUUGCAGCUUCCAGGUAACCAACAUUUACAUUCAGUUUAUACAAUCAAAUCUCUUACUUAGCUACACUAAACUCCGAAGAAGAAAAGUUUAAUCUGUCCCAAAGAGUUGCUCAUAAGAUUUCUCCUCUUGACGUACAUCUUAUACAUUUUUGAAUGUUUAUUAUUUAGUAAAUGUUUUGUUCAAUUUAUUUUAAAAUUUUUAUUUGCAAGUGAAACACCAAAGAGUAACGAUACUUCCAUCUACUGUUUACUUUGAAACAAAAAAUAAAAGCUUUUGGUAUUUAAAUAUAUUCUCCUGAGUAUUUGAGCUUAUAGUAUUUGGAUAUUUCAAAUUUGUUUUCUUGCUGGUCUACAAAUUUUUAAGAAAUUCUAUUUGAAGUUUCCUCGCACUACAAGGAUGAUAACAACUUUUAAAUCGCACAAGCUCAAACAUAAUUGAUAAUACUACACAAUUUCAAUAAAAUAUUUCCCUCCAGCUAACUUUCUCAUUGUUUGUUUCCUUAGUAGUUCGGUUGAUCAUUUUAAUUGAUAAUACUACACAAUUUCAAUAAAAAAUAAAAUACCAAGUGUUUCAAAAAAACAGGUAAUUCAUGAUGAUCAUUUUUUGGCAACAAUUCAUGGUGAUCUUAGUCAUAAAAAUUCUGUAAUCACAGUGAGAUACUUGGGGGUAACAUGAACCCACGCCUUCCCGGCCUCAUCAGUGAGCUUUGUGACAAGCAUGAACCCCAAGAUUGCUGGAUGUGCUCUGUCAUGAAAUGGCAACUAUUAAAACCGACAGUGAUGUUUCUCUGACUUUGAGUUUGCUCGACUCACAAGCUGUAUUGUUUCACAAAUACCUGGAAGGCUUCUGUGUUGAUCAAGGAGUUGUUAUUGCAACAAGCAUAAACCCCAAGGUUGUUGGAGGUG